This is a non-coding RNA of Sus scrofa (pig), 3953 nucleotides long. The record is from RefSeq and is a predicted model, not a curated record. Lineage: Eukaryota; Metazoa; Chordata; Mammalia; Artiodactyla; Suidae.
GGCUUGAACCUGCAACCUCAUGGUUCCUAGUCAGAUUCGUUAACCACUGCGCCACGACGGGAACUCCAGUUCCUCUCUUACCUUUGCAAGUGUUCUGUGAAUUGUCACUUUUUAAAUGUGGUCAUUUCUUACCACUACAUUAAAAUGAUAAACCCUCCCCCUCCUCUGGGAUAUCCUAUACAACUCAAUGCUUCAUUUUUUUUUUUUCUCUACAGCCCUUAUUAUCUUCUAGUAUAAGUUUCAUUUACAUAAUCUGUGCAUUACCUUUUUAUUCCCAUUAGAAGGUAAACUUUAUAUGCAUAGCUCUCUCUGAAUAUUUUAUCCCCUAAUGUAUCCCCAGCCCUUACAGCAGUACCUGUCUCAUAGUAGAGGCCCAAUCCAUGUGUUGAAAGGAUGAUUAUAUAAAAAAUAAAAUAAGGGAAGCUAGAAAAAAAAGAGAAACAUUUGUAAUGGCAUCAAUGAUAUUAAUAACUGCUAUACAUUACUGACGUCCUACUUGGUGCUACAGAAUACAACAUUUAGAACAAUCCUAUGGGUGAAAAAAUGCAUCCAUUUCACAGAUAAGGAGACUAAGUCUCUGGUACGAAGCUUAAGAUAAUGUAAAAGAGAGUAGCAGAAUGAGGGUUUAACAGGUGUGUCUGACUCACAGUUGUCUAUUAUCUCAGUCCUGCCUUCAUAAACUACUCUCCAAUGGUAAUUCACUCUUUUUCAGUCAUUUGAUAUUUCAAUUAGGAAACAUAGAGGCAUAUUGAUAAGGUUAAUAUAUAAAUUAACUGACUGCAAAAAUAGGUUCAGAGCCCAGAUUCUAGUACUGGACUGCAUGGGUGCACACCCUGCUCAUACAAGUAAGGGUUAAGUUUCCUUGGGCAUUUUUGUUUAUCUCUCCAUGGCUCAGUUUUCACAUCCAUAAAAAGUGGAUAACAAUUAUCCCUCCCAUGUCAGUCUUCAUACGAAUGAAGUAAACUAGCGUAAGUAAAUAACAUUUAGAAUAAUGAUAAUAUAAGCACAAGUGCUAUGCUUCUUUGCAUUACACAACAUUUUAAAGAUAUACAGUCUUUUCACAGUGUUUCCAUUAUUUAAUAUUCAUAGCAAUUUCAUGAGGUAGAUAAGGAGAAUAUUUAUCCCCAGGUUAGUCUUUGAUUUGCUAGUUAUUUAUCAUUUAAUGUUUGCUAUGUCCUAGUCUAGGCUUUAAGCUUAUACAGAUAAAAAGAAAACACAAUCUUUAUGCCCAAGAACACCCAGAUAAGAAAGAAAAUACAGUGGAAUAAAUGCUUUGAAAAAUGCAGCCUGAGGAUGCGAGAAAACUGAAACCUACAGAGGUUAAAAAAACCUGCUCAAGAGUGCCCAAAUAAUGAGUCUUCUCACUCUCCAUUGAGAGUUUUCCCCUUAAACACUGGGAGGAAUGGUAGAUAAAGUAGUCCUGUGAGACGGCGGGGGUUGGGGGUAUGAGCUCUGAGGCAUUUUCUUGCUGCAGGGAAAACCCCAGCUUCUCCUUGCAUUGCAGCAAAUGACUGAUCUUAUUCCUCCUUCCCUCACCUGGUCUCCAGCCUGGUGCGCAAGAUCUCAUUAUCCUAAAAUUACAAAUAAUAAUCUUAUGAAAACACCAAGGUGGUGCAAAUGGAUAUUGUGGCCAUGAACUCUUGUCUGACUGGUUCACAGAAGAGUAGACUAAAGUCAAUGUUUCACCUGAGAACUGGGAAACGUGGAUACGACCUUGGGCAAAUGAUUGCAUUUCUCUGCAUCUUGGUAAAUGUUAGCUAUCACUAUCACCUUUGUGGUUUCUAGAAUGACUUGGAUGGGCGUCACAUUCGGAAAAAGAAAACCCAAACAAGGCACUGCAUGACCUCAGAGAUGAGUAAGCGUUCAAGAAAAAUAAGCAACAAAGAAUAUCUUCAUAUAAUAAGCAAUCAUUUUUAUUUUGCAUAAUAUGAAUGGAAGAAACAUUAAUAAAAUACCAAAGGGAAUAUAUAUCAGAAGGCUUCAGCAACUUAUUGGUUUUGUUUCAAAUGCUUUAUCUGUAGAGUCAUCAGUUAAAUAUGCCAGAUGAAGAGUUUGUGAUGGAGAACACUUGCUGGAUCAAAACCAAGAACGUAAGAGACUAAGAAUUUCAAAGUCAAGGUGUUGUCAGAUUUGGUAUCUGGUGGGGAUCUUCUUCCUUGUUCAUACCAAGGCUAUCUUCUUGCUGUGUCCUCAUAUGGAAGAAGGGGCUAGGGGAGCUCCUGAAGUCUCUUGUAUGUGAGUAUUUCUUAUUAAUGAGAGCUCCACCCUUUUGACCUAAUCACCUUCCAAAAGACCCACCUCCAAAUCAACAUAUGGAUUGGAAGAGACAUAAAUGUUCAGUCCAUAGCAUCAUGAUUUAAUAUCAUGAGCCUUGAAAAUUGAGACAUCUUAAUUUAACCAACUUUUCAACACUAAAUAUCUGUAAAACCACUAUUGAAACCACUAAAUUAUAUAUAUGUGCCUAUAUAAUAUAUAUAUAUAAUUACAUAUAUAUCUUUAUAUAUGAAUGUCUUAUUUACUUUCCAGAAUUCCAGCUCUCCAGUUCUCUGGAGGUUAGGACAAGAGUUUUCACAUGCCACUAAAUACAAAUUUACCACAUCCUAAAGUUCAAACCCUUACCAUUGGAUUAAAAGUCAAGUUAUCUCUCUGUACCAUCAUUCCUAGAGAGGGGUGAACAAGACUUUCUUUGUUUUCCAGUGCAUUCUACAAUCACAAUAAGAUUUUCCCCAAAAGAUUAACAAACCUUAGAAUGAACUCAGUCAAGCUUUGAUUGAACUUAUCCUGAGUAUUCAGCAAUUUCUUCACAAUAAUAAGUUGGACUUUGGAAAUCUAAGUUAUGUGGUUACUUCUGUUAAAAUUCCAUUUACUGAUUGGUUUAAAACCUGGAAUAUUUUGGGAAGAUUUUCUCUAUGUGUUUGGACAAAUCUUCUCUAGGAAAGAUAUAAUUUAAGUCAAAUCAUUUCAAAUUGUGACUGAAACCACUAGUCAGAAAGACUUGUAAUCAAUGCUUAUGUGAAAAAGAAAAGAGUAUGUGUAGCUUGAUACAACUUCAAUGUAUUUUUCUCAUAGCUCAGAUGUAGAUGUUUUAUAUUAGGAGGUAUACACAUAAUGAAGCAGUGUAUUGUUUUGCAUUACAUCUGUCAUUACAUUAGAAAACCAUUUGGCAGGUUUAGUCAUGCCUAUGAUACGCCCAUUCAGCUCUCAGGGCUUAUGUGGUACCAACAUAUUGUCUUGCUUAGUCAUUAUCUUUUUACUCCUUACUUCCCUUCAGAGACUCUGGGGUAAUGGAGGGCAGGUGUUUUUGCAAUGUCGCUAUUCCUUUCAUGCAGGCAUUAGGUAGUAAAUAUUUUUGAUUGAGACUAAUCUUUUAAAUUUCCUCUGUAUUAGCAGGUACCUGGUAUAUCAUUCAUCUUUAAACAUUCAUUUGUGAUUUUUUGAUAUGUUUGUUUCUCUCAAAAAUAAACAUAUCUGAGAGCAGGUCUAGUGUCUUUACUCAGUGCUGUGUCUCUUGUGGCUAUCUAGUGCUCAGCACAUAGUGGUUGUUAGAGGGAUAUUUAUUGGAUAAAUUAAUACUUUGAAUGAAUAAAUGUAUUCCAAUAUCUCCAUUCUUCAUAACUCUGUCUAUAAGGAAAUGGCAAUAAAAAAUAUCUCAAAAUAGAGCAACUUUUAGUAGCCAGAGCAAUGCUGUCUGAGACCUACACCACAGCUCAUGGCAACACCAGAUCCUUAACCCUCAGGGAUGGAAUUUGCAACCCCAUGGAUACUAGUCAAGCUCGUUACCACUGAGCCACUAUGGGAACUCUAAAGCAGUAGGUCUUUAUGAUGAUGGAUCGUUUAACCAUUUGUGACAGAGUGAAGGAAUUAUGCCGAAACACAAAAAUCCCCAAAGUUUUUAACAUUAAAAAAUUUACCUCCACAAAAGGGAACCCUCCUGCACUGUUGGUGGGAAUGUA